GUGAAUCAUCGAAUUUUUGAACGCAAAUUGCACUCUCCUCGGAGAGUAUGCCUGUUUGAGGGUCAGCCUAUAAAAAUUCGACAUCGUUGUUGUUCUAUGGUGACUUUCUUCGGAGAUGGGUUAUCUUAAAUCCUGGUUUAAGCGACUUAAUAAUUUUUUCUAUGAUUCUCAGAAUGUUUCUUAGAUUCUUCUUCUACACACAGGGUAU
Molecule: unclassified non-coding RNA, 208 nt
Filed under: Glomeromycota sp.
Lineage: Eukaryota; Fungi; Glomeromycota
Description: partial contains 5.8S ribosomal RNA and internal transcribed spacer 2
Rfam family: 5.8S ribosomal RNA (bases 1-65)
Source: RNAcentral